Vidua macroura (Pin-tailed whydah) is the source of this 254-nucleotide long non-coding RNA. RefSeq lists it as uncharacterized. The transcript is spliced from 3 exons. The record is from RefSeq and is a predicted model, not a curated record. NCBI's taxonomy places the organism in Eukaryota, Metazoa, Chordata, Aves, Passeriformes, Viduidae.
CGAUCGCCUCCCCCGCCGCAGCCGGAGCGGGGGACCAGCCUCCCGGCUCCCCGCAGGGGCAGGAUGGAGAAGAGCCCAAGCGCUGACGAUUACAUAAAUUGUGUGGCUCUUCCCUGAUGCUCCAUAAAUGGCCACUGGUCCCAAAUUAGCAUGUGGGUACUAUGACUGAAGAAUAUGAAGUCCUUAGUUAUAACUGUAACAGAGUUCCACAGCAUUUAAAUAAAUUUCUUCUGGGUGAGACAGUUUUAAAGACA